CAGGAAAUUGUUACUAUCAGCUUCAAUCAAAGAAGCCUCUCUCUGCAGUGAAUGGCAGUGGAUAUAGACUCAUAGAUGCUCCAGGUCACCAUAAUGUGUCAGUUUAUUAUAAUGGCAAGUGGAGUAGAGGAAGGGUCCAGGACUGUGCCAAGGCCAUCUGCACAAGACCAAUGGAAUGGCAGAGAGGGAAGACGGGCAAAGGAUGCUGGUUUAAAUACUGUACCAGCUGUCACACAUGUGAACUCCGCUGUCACUGAAAGAGCCGUGUGGUUUAGUGAAGUGACCAGCAUUCAGUUCUUUAUGACAAAAAAAUCUAAGGAGAGCUGAUGAUGGAUGGCAAUUGACAAGAAAGUUAAGGUUUUCUCCUUUUACUGUGUGGAUACCCAGGGAUUGAACUCCACUCACAGGCUGCGGCCACCCUUAGCUGCUGAACCAUCACCAGCCCUCUGAGUCUCUGCUUUCCAAAGAAGGAAGGAAGCAACACUGGAAGAGAACUAUCACUUAAAUGGCUUGAGUUCACAACUUAAAAAUUCAAACUCGUGCUGGAGAGAUGGCUCAGUGGUUAAGAGCACUGACUGCUCUUCCAGAGGUCCUGAGUUCAAAUCCCUGCAACCACAUGGUGGCUCACACCCAUCUG
Non-coding RNA from Rattus norvegicus (Norway rat), 637 nucleotides. The record is from RefSeq and is a predicted model, not a curated record. Lineage: Eukaryota; Metazoa; Chordata; Mammalia; Rodentia; Muridae.